UGGGGAAUUUUGGACAAUGGGGGAAACCCUGAUCCAGCCAUCCCGCGUGUGCGAUGAAGGCCUUCGGGUUGUAAAGCACUUUUGGCAGGAAAGAAACGUCAUGGGUUAAUACCCCGUGAAACUGACGGUACCUGCAGAAUAAGCACCGGCUAACUACGUGCCAGCAGCCGCGGUAAUACGUAGGGUGCAAGAGUUAAUCGGAAUUACUGGGCGUAAAGCGAGCGCAGGCGGUUCGGAAAGAAAGAUGUGAAAUCCCAAAGCUCAACUUUGAAACUGCAUUUUUAACUACCGGGCUAUAGUGUGUCAGAGGGAGGUGGAAUUCCGCGUGUAGCAGUGAAAUGCGUAGAUAUGCGGAGGAACACCGAUGGCGAAGGCAGCCUCCUGAGAUAACACUGACGCUCAUGCACGAAAGCGUGGGGAGCAAACAGG
RNAcentral lists this ribosomal RNA (429 nucleotides) under Acidobacteriota bacterium. RNAcentral's name for it is "Acidobacteria bacterium partial 16S ribosomal RNA". It matches the Rfam family "Bacterial small subunit ribosomal RNA", at positions 355 to 776 of the family's 1533-position model. Lineage: Bacteria; Pseudomonadati; Acidobacteriota. The record is from RNAcentral.